UGGGGAAUAUUGCACAAUGGGCGCAAGCCUGAUGCAGCCAUGCCGCGUGUAUGAAGAAGGCCUUCGGGUUGUAAAGUACUUUCAGUCGGGAGGAAGGUGUCAAGGUUAAUAACCUUGGCAAUUGACGUUACCGACAGAAGAAGCACCGGCUAACUCCGUGCCAGCAGCCGCGGUAAUACGGAGGGUGCAAGCGUUAAUCGGAAUUACUUGGCGUAAAGCGCACGCAGGCGGUUGAUUGAGUCAGAUGUGAAAUCCCCGGGCUUAACCCGGGAAUUGCAUCUGAUACUGGUCAGCUAGAGUCUUGUAGAGGGGGGUAGAAUUCCAUGUGUAGCGGUGAAAUGCGUAGAGAUGUGGAGGAAUACCGGUGGCGAAGGCGGCCCCCUGGACAAAGAAUGACGCUCAGGUGCGAAAGCGUGGGGAGCAAACAGG
Molecule: ribosomal RNA, 429 nt
Filed under: Chloroflexota bacterium
Lineage: Bacteria; Bacillati; Chloroflexota
Description: Chloroflexi bacterium partial 16S ribosomal RNA
Rfam family: Bacterial small subunit ribosomal RNA
Source: RNAcentral